UGUCUAAGUACAAACGUUUUAAACGUGAAACCGCGAACAGCUCAUUACAACAGCUAUAAUUUAAUUGAUUUUGACACUAUCCUACUUGGAUAACUGUGGUAAUUCUAGAGCUAAUACAUGAACUAAAGCUAUGACCUUACGGAAAUAGUGCAUUUAUUAGAACAAAACCAAGCGGCUUCGGUCGUUCCUGGUUGACUCCGAAUAACUCAGCUGAUCGCAUGGGCUUGUCCCGGCGACGUGUCUUUCAAGCAUCUGCUUUAUCAACUUUCGAUGGUAGUGUAUCUGCCUACCAUGGUGAUUACGAAUACGGGCGAUUAGGGUCGGACGCCGGAGAAGGAGCCUGAGAAACGGCUACUACAUCCAAGGAAGGCAGCAGGCGCGCAAAUUACCCACUCUCAGUGCGAGGAGGUAGUGACGAAAAAUAACAAGACCGUUCUCAUUGAGGCCGGUCAUUGGAAUGGGUACAAUUUAAACCCUUUAACGAGUAUCUAGGAGAGGGCAAGUCUGGUGCCAGCAGCCGCGGUAAUUCCAGCUCUCCGAAUCAAUCGGUUUAUUGCCGCGGUUAAAAAGCUCGUAGUUGGAUCUGUGCUCUUGGACCCGGUCCACUUUAGAGUGCGCACUGGGCUCCGGAGCUUAAUCGGUGCUUUUCCUGCGGUUGCCUUUACCGGUAGCCGUAGGUGGGUGCCAAGUUUACUUUGAAUAAAUCAAAGUGCUCAACACAGGCGUUUUGCUUGAAUGAUUCAGCAUGGAAUAAUAGAAAAGGAUUUCGGUUCUCUUUUAUUGGUUUUAAGAACUGAGAUAAUGGUUAACAGGGACAAACGGGGGCAUUCGUAUCGCUACGUGAGAGGUGAAAUUCUUGGACCGUAGCGAGACGCUCUACUGCGAAGGCAUUUGCCAAGAAUGUUUUCAUUAAUCAAGAACGAAAGUCAGAGGUUCGAAGGCGAUCAGAUACCGCCCUAGUUCUGACCGUAAACGAUGCCAACUAUCGAUCCGCCGGUGGAAAUUUUUGCCCUGGUGGGGAGAUUCCCGGAAACGAAAGUCUUCCGGUUCCGGGGGAAGUAUGGUUGCAAAGCUGAAACUUAAAGAAAUUGACGGAAGGGCACCACCAGGAGUGGAGCCUGCGGCUUAAUUUGACUCAACACGGGAAAACUCACCCGGCCCGGACACUGUAAGGAUUGACAGAUUGAUAGCUCUUUCUUGAUUCGGUGGUUGGUGGUGCAUGGCCGUUCUUAGUUGGUGGAGUGAUUUGUCUGGUUUAUUCCGAUAACGAGCGAGACUCUAGCCUACUAAAUAGUGUUGUGAUUCUUUGGUCACAUUCACUUCUUAGAGGGAUUUUCGGCGUUUAGCCGCACGAGAUUGAGCAAUAACAGGUCUGUGAUGCCCUUAGAUGUCCGGGGCUGCACGCGCGCUACACUGUCUAAAUCAACGUGCAGUACCCAUUCUCGAAAGGGAUUGGUAAACCGAUGAAAAUUAGCCGUGCUUGGGAUAGGUCAUUGCAAUUAUUGACCUUGAACGAGGAAUUCCAAGUAUUUAGACUUCAUCAAAGUCUGAAGAUUACGUCCCUGCCCUUUGUACACACCGCCCGUCGCUGCCCGGGACUGAGCCGUUUCGAGAAACGCGGGGACUGCUGUUUAGAAGGGCUUCGGUCCGUCUUUAUGGUGGAAACCGCUUUAAUCGCAGUGGCUUGAACCGGGCAAAAGUCGUAACAAGGUAGCCGUAG
This 1720-nucleotide ribosomal RNA is filed under the name Diastolaimus grossus. RNAcentral describes it as "SSU rRNA". It matches the Rfam family "Eukaryotic small subunit ribosomal RNA". The record is from RNAcentral. Lineage: Eukaryota; Metazoa; Nematoda; Chromadorea; Rhabditida; Chambersiellidae.